AAACCAGCACCUCAAGUGGUCAGGAUGAUUAUUGGGCCUAAAGCAUCCGUAGCCUGCUUUGCCAGUUUUCGGUUAAAUCCAUACGCUUAACAUAUGGGCCGCCGGGAAUACUGUGCACCUAGGGAGUGGGAGAGGUAGACGGUACUCGGUAGGAAGGGGUAAAAUCCUUUGAUCUAUUGAUGACCACCUGUGGCGAAGGCGGUCUACCAGAACACGUUCGACGGUGAGGGAUGAAAGCUGGGGGAGCAAACCGGAUUAGAAACCCCAGUAGUCC
Molecule: ribosomal RNA, 274 nt
Filed under: uncultured bacterium
Lineage: Bacteria
Description: partial 16S ribosomal RNA
Rfam family: Archaeal small subunit ribosomal RNA
Source: RNAcentral